RNAcentral lists this long non-coding RNA (377 nucleotides) under Nicotiana benthamiana. RNAcentral's name for it is "long non-coding RNA (NBEN_LNC011902)". Lineage: Eukaryota; Viridiplantae; Streptophyta; Magnoliopsida; Solanales; Solanaceae. The record is from RNAcentral.
AAAUGCAUGUACUUUCAACCUAAAUCCCUAGAGAAGCGGCCGCUAACCGAUCGAUCCUCCAAAAUUCAGAAGGUAAAAUUCGACCGUACCGAAAAUCCCUAGUGACGGCGAAGCUAAAAUUCUGAAGGUUACAAUGAAUUAAACUCAUAAAGGUUGCAAAGAGGAGACGACGAAUCUCAAAAUCCCUAAAAACGGUGCUACCUCCUUCAAAAUUCAGAAGGUGAAAAAACUCAGAAAGGUUGCAAAGAGCGAGGCGCCACUUCGUCGUUAUCGUUGAGAGCUCUGUUCAGAACGUACUCUGUUUAAUUUAUUCUUUGGAGGCCUUAAUCCAAAGUACUUUACACAAAUUAUACUAUUGGAUUAUCCGCCCAAACAAG